AUUGAACGCUGGCGGCAGGCUUAACACAUGCAAGUCGAGCGGGGUGAUGGUGCUUGCACUAUCACUUAGCGGCGGACGGGUGAGUAAUGCUUAGGUAUCUGCCUAUUAGUGGGGGACAACAUCUCGAAAGGGAUGCUAAUACCGCAUACGUCCUACGGGAGAAAGCAGGGGAUCACUUGUGACCUUGCGCUAAUAGAUGGGCCUAAGUCGGAUUAGCUAGUUGGUGGGGUAAAGGCCUACCAAGGCGACGAUCUGUAGCGGGUCUGAGAGGAUGAUCCGCCACACUGGGCCUGAGACACGGCCCAGACUCCUACGGGAGGCAGCAGUGGGGAAUAUUGGACAAUGGGGGGAACCCUGAUCCAGCCAUGCCGCGUGUGUGAAGAAGGCCUUAUGGUUGUAAAGCACUUUAAGCGAGGAGGAGGCUCUUUUGGUUAAUACCCAAGAUGAGUGGACGUUACUCGCAGAAUAAGCACCGGCUAACUCUGUGCCAGCCGCCGCCGUAA
Molecule: ribosomal RNA, 503 nt
Filed under: uncultured bacterium
Lineage: Bacteria
Description: partial 16S ribosomal RNA
Rfam family: Bacterial small subunit ribosomal RNA
Source: RNAcentral